GUCAAUUUAGUAAAUGAAAGUAAACAGAAAAUGGGGGACUCUUUUACAGAACCUGCUCUGAAUUGCGCUCAGGAGCUAGUCAAACCAGCAGAUCAUCCUGCCAUUUACAGACACAUUAACUUUGACCUCCUUUUCUCUAUCACGUGCAUCUCCAUGUGAGUUUUCUUUGUUAUUCCUAUUAAAAACUGGUCAGAGUAAUUCAGACCCAACUUAAUUAACAGGGUUUCUCUGGACUCCUCUCAAUUUUAGUGCUAUUUGUGAAGUAGUUUAACCAUUAACUUGCAUAAAGCUAUGGAACUGCAUGAAGAAUACUCACAUGAUACAAUUUUGUUCAGAGGAAAUAUUAACUUGAAGGGAAAAAUAAAACUCAGAAUAGUGAUUAACCAGUCCCUUCAAGCACUAUAAAAGAAGCCGAGAUAGCCAGCUUCUCUGACUUCACAUAAAAAUAUAAUCAAGUUAAUAUGAAAUAUGAGGUUCUUGUAGGCUUUCAUUUUUACAAGAUGUGCUGAUUUGUCCUUGAUUUAAUCAUGUUUUGUUUAUGAUUAAUGAAUAAUUCACCUUAGAAACCAAACAAAACUCACCGAGAAUUUGAGGAAAUGGUUUAUUUAGAAACUACAAGAAAACUUCCGUGUGAGUUACAAAGUAUUAAAAAUCUAACUCAGUGCGAACUCAGCAUGAGGGUGUUGAACUGGAGCUAACAGGGUACACAAAGUUUCAUUUAUGAUACAAGUGUUACACAGCCUCAGCCUGUUCGGGAAAUCUGCAGACUGUGGUGAUGUCUCCAAGACUCAAACCCUGCAAGCUGAGACUGAGCCUUUGUGUUUUAUGAUCUCCAGCCUUUCUCAAAUGUUCUGCAGUGAAUUCCAGGUACGGUUCAUAUUUGCAAAAUUUCCUUGUUUGUUAGACUGCAAGAUUGCACUGAGGAUGAAAAUAAAAUAAAAGUUGAUAAUAUGCAUAACUGCUAACACGAUAAAUGCAAUUAGAUUUUAUAAGUAUAUUAUAUACAUAUAUGUACACCUCUGUGAAGCACUGAGUGGAUCAUAGGAAAAUUGCUUCUGAUAGUUCAGUUUAGGAACUGAACAUGAAGUUCAGUUGAACACAUUUUAAAGCUCUUUUCCUGCUAUGGAAAUGUAUGACACUGGCAUUUCUGCUCUGUUCUCUAGACAAACCACAGUGACUAUAAGAUCAUGGCAUUUAUUUGCAAACUGUAUGGAUCAUUUCAGCUAAUCUGAAUGUUACAAGCAUUUCAUUUCAGCAUGUUUUUCUCCUGUUGACUCAAAGCUACAGUCUGUGGCUUAACAAGGCUAAGUGAAAAACACAUCAACAGGUAUAGAGAUAAUCUUUUCAAAAUUGUGGAUUGUAACCUUAUACCAAUGUGAAGCUCUGUUUUGAAGUCUGUUGCUUCUGAGCUCUAGGAAUUAAGCUGUUGAGAAGAUUGCCUUGUGAGACCAAACCUAGCUGUUACACUUUCCUGUAAAAUAUUAAUUGCUGAAUAAUUUCCACAUAAAUACACUAGCAAUUAUUAAUUGCAUUGCAAUAAUUUGACUGUUUAUAGCCUGUAAAUUGAAGCAUUGCCUAUAUGUAAAUAUCUUGACUUUAGUGGGAAAUGGAAGGAUGCUGCUUACUAAUAAAACCUCUCUUAUUUAAUUAGCA
Molecule: long non-coding RNA, 1653 nt
Filed under: Coturnix japonica (Japanese quail)
Lineage: Eukaryota; Metazoa; Chordata; Aves; Galliformes; Phasianidae
Description: lncRNA (ENSCJPG00005014337.1)
Source: RNAcentral